AUAGCGUAUAUUAAAGUUGUUGCAGUUAAAAAGCUCGUAGUUGGAUUUCUGGCAGGAUGACUUUGCCCUCUGUAGAGUGCGCAAUGCUGUCCUACCAUCCUUCUGUUAACCCUUUCGACCUUAAAAAGUUGGCUGGGGGCUCAGAUAUUUUACCUUGAGAAAAUUAGAGUGUUUCAGGCAGGCUAGCGCCGGAAUACAUUAGCAUGGAAUAAUAGAAUAGGACUUUUGCCUCUUCUGUUGGUCUGAGGGGUGUAAGUAAUGAUUAAUAGGGAUAGUUGGGGGCAUUAGUACUUAACUGUCAGAGGUGAAAUUCUCGGAUUUGUUAAAGACUAACUUA
This 337-nucleotide ribosomal RNA is filed under the name uncultured eukaryote. Its description in RNAcentral is "SSU rRNA". It matches the Rfam family "Eukaryotic small subunit ribosomal RNA", at positions 594 to 943 of the family's 1831-position model. The record is from RNAcentral.